GUCGAACGGCAGCACGGGUGCUUGCACCUGGUGGCGAGUGGCGAACGGGUGAGUAAUGCACCGGAACGUACCCAGUAAUGGGGGAUAACACAUCGAAAGAUGUGCUAAUACCGCAUACGCCCUGAGGGGGAAAGCGGGGGAUCGUAAGACCUCGCGUUAUUGGAGCGGCCGAUGCCGGAUUAGCUAGUUGGUGAGGUAAAGGCUCACCAAGGCGACGAUCCGUAGCUGGUCUGAGAGGACGACCAGCCACACUGGGACUGAGACACGGCCCAGACUCCUAC
Molecule: ribosomal RNA, 281 nt
Filed under: uncultured bacterium
Lineage: Bacteria
Description: partial 16S ribosomal RNA
Rfam family: Bacterial small subunit ribosomal RNA
Source: RNAcentral